RNAcentral lists this ribosomal RNA (122 nucleotides) under Symbiochloris handae. The record is from RNAcentral. Lineage: Eukaryota; Viridiplantae; Chlorophyta; Trebouxiophyceae; Trebouxiales; Trebouxiaceae.
AAAGCUGGUGGCCUAGCCAGGUUGGUCCCAUGGCAAUCCAUCCCGAACUUGCACAUGAAACGGCCUGGGAGUGACAAUACUUGUACCGAAGGGUACUGGAAAGAUAACUUGUUGCCAGCAUU